UGUCCAUGUUGUACACCUACUGGGUUGC
This 28-nucleotide non-coding RNA is filed under the name Rattus norvegicus (Norway rat). The record is from RNAcentral. Lineage: Eukaryota; Metazoa; Chordata; Mammalia; Rodentia; Muridae.